UAAACGGACAUAACAGUAGCCAACUCACAGAUGUACCAUGAAGAAUACAUGAAGUUGUGGGGAGAAUCACUGCAAGCCGCAUGACGCACCGGAGAAACCUGGCCCUGCCUGGGACCUGGGCAGGGGCUGGGACCCCCCCUACAAUGACACUAAUGGAAUUCCCAGCAUACUCGGCUCCAUGAAAGCAGGACCCUUGGGAGUCCUGUUCACAGUAGCAUCCCCAGCGCCUAGAGGGAGCCUGCUGCACUGUAGAAGCCCAGCAUAUCUUGGAUGAGUAGAUGAUGUCGUAUCAGCAACCCUGGGUCUGAAUUGCCAACUCCCACUGGGUAGACUCUACAUGCAGUAACAACAUCAACAUAUUAACUAAUUUCUGCAGUCCAUAGAAGGUGCCGGGCACCAAGGUUUCCCAAGCGUGCUCUUUUUAAUUUUCAUCACAGCCCCCUAGAGGUUUUAUACUAUCAUUAUUCCCUUUUUACAGAUGAGGAAACUGAGGCAAAAGACAUGAGGUGACCUGCCUGAGGCCACCAGCUUAUGGAUUCUGAACCCAGGUCUGUCUGAACUUUAAGCCCAGGCCUCUUUUCUCUGCCACACACCCCAGCAAGAAUGAAUAAAUAAACAAAAUAAAACAA
Molecule: long non-coding RNA, 629 nt
Filed under: Homo sapiens (human)
Lineage: Eukaryota; Metazoa; Chordata; Mammalia; Primates; Hominidae
Description: HSALNT0195835
Source: RNAcentral